RNAcentral lists this ribosomal RNA (274 nucleotides) under uncultured bacterium. RNAcentral's name for it is "partial 16S ribosomal RNA". It matches the Rfam family "Bacterial small subunit ribosomal RNA", at positions 523 to 796 of the family's 1533-position model. The record is from RNAcentral.
AUACGGAGGGUGCAAGCGUUACUCGGAAUCACUGGGCGUAAAGCGCGCGCAGGCGGCUAUUUAAGUUGGAUGUGAAAGCCUACGGCUCAACCGUAGAACUGCAUCCAAAACUAUUUAGCUAGAGUGUGGGAGAGGAAGCUGGAAUUAGUUGUGUAGGGGUAAAAUCCGUAGAGAUAACUAGGAAUACCAAAAGCGAAGGCAAUCUUCUGGAACACUACUGACGCUGAGGCGCGAAAGCGUGGGGAGCAAACAGGAUUAGAAACCCCAGUAGUCC